Mercurialis annua (annual mercury) is the source of this 737-nucleotide long non-coding RNA. RefSeq lists it as uncharacterized. The transcript is spliced from 2 exons. NCBI's taxonomy places the organism in Eukaryota, Viridiplantae, Streptophyta, Magnoliopsida, Malpighiales, Euphorbiaceae. The record is from RefSeq and is a predicted model, not a curated record.
CACCUAAAUAUUCUCAAGACCACCUAUUGACUAAAAUCUAUUAAAAUUUACGGCUUGAUAGAAAUUUCUUGCCAAAUUACGAUUCCAAUAAAAUAGGAAACAUAUCUCCUUCAAAAUCAUAAAUUCAAAAUCACAAAGAUUCUCUCAACUUGCUCACAACGAUUUCUUUCAAAUUCAAAACAAAAAAUUGUUUUUAACUCAAUUGAUUACAUAAAAUUGCUUUGAUCAAUCACUGUUCUUAGAAAUCAAUCGGAUUUUAAGAAGAAAAAAAAACAGGACAAUGGUGGUUAUUAAUGAAAGCAUUCAACGGCGACGGACGGAAAUGGUGGGUUUUAGGGUUGGAACUGAUAACUCAAUCAUCUGAAUUGGAGGAGACCCGCAUCCGUUUCCGGCCAAUCGUGGGUACAACGGAUAACAACAUCAUCAUCAUCGUGAUCCUUAUGUAAAUAUGCAAAGACCCGAGCAAUUUCAGACAGUCGCCGCAAUUGUCCUCAUCAGGUUGAUUUUCCGGUGAAGAUAUUCCUUGCACUAUUUGAUGUUAGCGCAGGUUUGAAAUGGUAAUUUAAUGGCCAGGCAUGAGUUUCCAUAUCUCAUAAGGUAUUGGCAGUGGGAGUUAAGGAGAGAAGAAGUGAAUUUAUGUACAAAUGAUAAAUUGACAAUAUAUAAUGGAGAAUUGAGUUAUGGAUUUUUUGUAAAUUGUAGGAAUAUGAAAGAUGCACAAUAAGUGUUUGAUAUAA